This 424-nucleotide ribosomal RNA is filed under the name uncultured bacterium. RNAcentral's name for it is "bacterial SSU rRNA". It matches the Rfam family "Bacterial small subunit ribosomal RNA", at positions 355 to 775 of the family's 1533-position model. The record is from RNAcentral.
UGAGGAAUAUUGGUCAAUGGGCGCAAGCCCGAACCAGCCAUCCCGCGUGCAGGAAGACGGCGCUAUGCGUUGUAAACUGCUUUUCCAGGGGGAGAAACUUGCGCACGUGUUGCGCAAUUGACGGUACCCUGGGAAUAAGCAUCGGCUAACUCCGUGCCAGCAGCCGCGGUAAUACGGAGGAUGCGAGCGUUAUCCGGAUUCAUUGGGUUUAAAGGGUGCGUAGGCGGACUAUUAAGUCAGUGGUGAAAUCCUGCAGCUUAACUGCAGAACUGCCAUUGAUACUGAUGGCCUUGAGUUUGGUUAAGGUAGGCGGAAUGUGUAAUGUAGCGGUGAAAUGCUUAGAUAUUACACAGAACACCAAUUGCGUAGGCAGCUUACUGAGCCGACACUGACGCUGAGGCACGAAAGCGUGGGGAUCGAACAG